This is a long non-coding RNA of Drosophila pseudoobscura, 1244 nucleotides long. RefSeq lists it as uncharacterized. The record is from RefSeq and is a predicted model, not a curated record. NCBI's taxonomy places the organism in Eukaryota, Metazoa, Arthropoda, Insecta, Diptera, Drosophilidae. The transcript has 2 exons.
AGGUAUUUCCGCUCUUUCUUCAUUAACAAUCCAUCGAGUCCAGAACCUAUUCUUCCCUGCUUCUCAAUCCAAUAAAUCACUCAAUCCAAGUGGAAAGCCCAUCAGCUAAUUAGUGAAAAAUCCAUAAUUAUAGUUUGGAAAACAAAUAUACAAAUGAAGAUCAGAUCGGAUCGGGUCAGAUCUGCGUCAUAGAUCUCCAAGCACACAUCGUUCCGAGAGACCAUGGCUGGCAUUCGGCAAUUGUUAUUAAUUGAAAACAUUAUGGAAUCCGCUGUUUACUCAAAUACCAAACACAAAUCAACUAAUUUCCCCGCACGAAAUUUCCAUCUCUAAUUCUUUUUGUAUUUAUUUUGUUUUGUUUCUGUUCAGAAAUUAAAUUGGAGGGAUAUGGGAAUGAGUCCCGCGUGCUUGCUGUCACAAUUCUAUGAUUCUGACACUUUUCUGACAGCCCAAAAGAAAACCUCAAGAGCCGAACCUGAAGAAUACUCGAAUGCCACAAGACAACACUCCUCCUCCAAGUAUCCGGAGCGGACAAGCGGCCAAGCGGCCAAGUGCUGAAUGCAAUUUAAUAAUCAUCUCCCAUGGCUGUGGAAUCUCUGAUGAAUAUCUAGAUCGAGAGGCAUAGAAAUUUUCUGCCCGGCACAAGCGAAAUCUUCACAAGAGAAUUCCCCAGAAUUCGGAUCAGAGUAGUUCUCUGGCCUUCCUACUGGAAACGUGGGUGUUGCGCAUCCCAAAGGACACGAUUCUUUUUUAGGAUCGAUAGGAAAUCAAUCGAUUAAUCGACACUGCCGAAACGGCUUCUUUCUUCCUACUGGGAUUAUUUUCUUAUAUGUAUUUUCUCCCCUCUCUCUCUCCUCUUUGCACUUUAGAUCUGCCGUUGAUCUUCCAUGGGGCUGCCGUUAUUCCAGCUCUAGUGCUCCACUCUACUCCACCGCCAAAGUAACGGGCCAGAGCACAAGUGGAUCGGAAUCGGAAUCGGACUCUGAAUCGAGAGCCAGAGAGGCCAGAGAUUUCUAUCUAUCGAGGAUGACCCAUAUUUCGGCGAGUGUUUUCUCUGCUUUUAUCACAAUUUGCAAUUGCUGGCGAUGCUCCACGGACGAGGCGACGUUUCACGGCCCACUCGAAACCAAUACAGAUACAGAUUCAAACAUAUUUAGAUACAGAUACGAAUACGGGAUUUUGUUUUGGUUUAUUUCGUGCGGCUUUUGUGUUCUAUUCUGCCAAGAAAUUACUUUUUUGACAAA